CACUUAAUAAUAAUAUUGCUCAUUAUAUAUAAUUAACUGGAAUAAACAAGUACACUAAUUAAUAACACACAUAAAACUUCUUACAUGAAAUACAUAUGCAUUCGAUCACCCGAAAGACAAGAGAGAGUUAUUAACUGCCUUCACCUUACAUAGAAAGCCGUCUUAUUUAAAUAAAACAUGGCAAGGAUAUAUAUAUAUAUAUAUUUCAACCUAAGCAAAUGCAAAGGUUUCCCUGAGAGCCAGUUGUGCAAGAUGCACUCAUAAAUUUUGCGUGCAGAAUUUUCUUGCAUUGAGCAAUGCACUCAGGAAGUGUGCAGGGAUUGAGUGGGACAGCAAAUGCACACUCCACAGGCUGUGGCUCCAAAACUAACAUGACAAUCAUUGUGAUCAUCAAGAUCAGAGCCAAUUCCUUAGCAAAAUUUAUGGCGGCCAUG
This 434-nucleotide long non-coding RNA is filed under the name Glycine max (soybean). RNAcentral's name for it is "long non-coding RNA (GMAX_LNC001230)". The record is from RNAcentral. Lineage: Eukaryota; Viridiplantae; Streptophyta; Magnoliopsida; Fabales; Fabaceae.